Molecule: ribosomal RNA, 253 nt
Filed under: uncultured bacterium
Lineage: Bacteria
Description: partial 16S ribosomal RNA
Rfam family: Bacterial small subunit ribosomal RNA
Source: RNAcentral
UACGUAGGGGGCUAGCGUUGUCCGGAAUCAUUGGGCGUAAAGCGCGCGUAGGCGGCCCGGUAAGUCCGCUGUGAAAGUCCAGGGCUCAACCCUGGAACGCCGGUGGAUACUGUCGGGCUAGAGUCCGGAAGAGGCGAGUGGAACUCCUGGUGUAGCGGUGGAAUGCGCAGAUAUCAGGAAGAACACCAACGGCGAAGGCAGCUCGCUAGGACGGUACUGACGCUGAGACGCGAAAGCGUGGGGAGCGAACAGG